Cercocebus atys (sooty mangabey) is the source of this 10831-nucleotide long non-coding RNA. RefSeq lists it as uncharacterized. The transcript has 2 exons. The record is from RefSeq and is a predicted model, not a curated record. NCBI's taxonomy places the organism in Eukaryota, Metazoa, Chordata, Mammalia, Primates, Cercopithecidae.
GCUGGGAUUAUAGACAUGAGCCACCAUGCCCAGAUAAUGUUACGUGAUUUUAACCACAUUAAAAAAAAGGUGAUACAACUUCCACUUUGCUUGCUGUAAAACCUGCACUUGAGUCCUGUGCCACCAUGAAAGUGGUCCAACCACCCUGAGGCUGCCAUGCUAGGAGGAAGCCCAACUCACCUGUGCAGAGACACCACAGGAAGCAGCCCUGAGAUUACAGGAAUAAAGAGAUGUAUGGCCAGCCUCCAGCUUCUCCAGCUAUCACCUGAGUACAAUCUCAUUAGAAACCCUGAACCAGAACGACCCAGCUAAGUUCUUUCCAAAUUCCUGAUCUACAGAAACCUUGAGAGACAGUAAAAGUAAUUGUUCCUUGAUGCUACUAAAUUUUGUCAUAAUUUGUUCCAUGGCAAUAGCUAACUGGACACCUUGUCUCCAUCUCUCAGGUCAAUUCUGACCACAGGGAGAAAGGAUUUAAGUAGCUCUAGCCUAUCACUGUGCAGUGGCUGAUGGUCUGGCCCUGUAGAUGCAAAGCUCCUUGAGAAAAGAGCUCUAUGUCAUCACUGUAGUAGUUGUGGCCUCAUCCUCCAGGAGUGCUUUCUAUAUUUCAUUCUACAAAUAUUUACUAAGUGCCUAAUAGACUUCAUUGAGCUCUAGCACAGUCCACAGUCUCUAGAAUAUAUUAAGCAUAUAAGAUAUGCUCCUUGCUUUCAAGGAAUGUAAUUUAAUGGAAGAAACAAACAUAUAAGCAAAUAAUUCUUCCUAAUUAAUUCUUUUCUUUCGUUGAAACACAAUUAACACCGGGGCAUAAUUUAGCCUGGAGGAGAGUCAGACAGGGACCUCUGAGACAGUGACAUGUAAGUUACGACUAGAAGGAUGAGAAGGCAUUAGUAAUAUGCUUGAUAAAUGUGUUUACCUUGGCUUGCUCUAAGCUGCGGGUGUGGUCCAGGUCUGCUCCACAGGUCUCUCAUCCUGUUUGAACUAGUGCUACCAGGGCAGACAUUUCUCAUGGUGCUGGCGGAAGUCCAAGAGGGCAAGCCCAACUGCGCAAACAUAUCACAGGCCUCUGCCUAUCAUGCCUACUAACAUCCCAUAGGACCAAGGCAGGCACGUGGCAGAGCCCAUCAUCAACGGGGUAGUCGAGGACACUCCUCUCAUAGAGAUUGUGCUGACAACCACCAGGCUGUUCUCCCAGGCACUUCUAGCUGGGUCAUGCCCCCUUGCCUGCUCCCUGCAGCCCUCCACGUUGGCCCAUGCCAAUGCCUUGUUUGAGUCUCCAUCCUUGUCUGUCUGCUCCAUUUCACAACACUUAACUCUCUGUGCCAGCCGUAUCCAGCUACGACAAGAAAAUCUGAUGAAAAUGUAAGGUGCUGGCAAAAAUCAUUUUAUGGAAAUACAUUAAAUCAUCUAAGCUAUUACGGUAUUGAAGAAUUGAACUGGAACAGGAUCAUAAAAGUCACUUAUAGGGAUGCCAUGAAAAUUAGCUAGUCAGUGUUCAUGGUUUGAACAUAAAAUGAAAAUUGUUGUUGAUUUACAUAUAAUGUCUUUGUUGGGUCUUCCAAAAGCCUCCUCAGCUAGUAUAUAACAGAAAUGGGGAAACCAAAUGUUAAGUUUAGGACCCAACCAUCUUGCCUUUAGUUUUGUUUGUUUUUGUUUUGCCAGUGGUGGUAAAGAUAGCAACCCUCCUCUCAGAAGAGAACUGGCUCUGGACCUAGACAUCAUGAAGAACUGCAGUGUGGAUUGCAAAACACCAUCGCAUUCAUAAGUCAUGGCUCAUUAGAUUUUUGGUGAAAAACUUCAAGGGGCAUCUGUUUUCUCUCCUCUGUUCUUGCCCCACCCCUCAUCACCAGGAGAGACUGUUUUAUAGUAAAUUAUGGCCAGUUCUCCAGGCUGACUAUUCAGGGCCUGCUUGACUUGGCAACCACUUUCCUCUUGCCAAUGGGCAUUCCUUCAUUUCACAGUUUCUUAGCCCUAGCUGCUGAGAGUAGAGAAGUGGAAAUGAAGAGGUGGGACUCAAGCCAGUUCAUUAUGCAUCUUGUUGGUGGUGCUAGUAAGGGCUUGGUGGGGAAAGGAGACUGGAACUUUCCCCAGGCAAGGGAGGAGGGCUCCCUUGGCUGCCGUUCAACCCCGCAUCCUAGUGUAGGCGGGAAACCUCCUUCCCCUCAAGCCUGUCUUAGCAAGGCCAAUUGCGAAGGGCUUUUUCGUGGGCUUUGGCUGUGUUCAGAGUCAGAUGACAUUGUGGUGUAAUGAUAAUGGUCCUAAUCACAAGAGGAUGUUCUCAGUGAGUGGGCACCAGGCACCAUGCAAAGUGAAUUAUUUCACUCAAUCCCCACAAAGACUCUAGAGUUGGGAACUAUUAUGGCCCUCCCUUUAAGAGGAAGGGGACGAACUUGCCCAAGGUCAUGCCUCAGAGCAGCAGUAGAAACUGUGGAGAAGGAGCAAGCUGUUUGUUCUCCUGUCAUCUCCCUGGCCCACCCCAUGGACACACCUUCCUGUUCACAGACCUCUUCCUCUUCUAGAGGCACUGAAGCAUGUGUGGAUGUCUCUGUCAUACUCUCCUUCACCUUGGUGGAGGGAUUCACCAGAGCUCCUGUCCAGCCCACUCCCUACCUGCUUGUGUGUGUGAUUUCCAUGUGUGCAUUGUGGGAGCUGCCUACACAGCAGAGCCUCUGCCCAGCCUCGGGUCCUCUUCCCAGUUUUCAGGCAACUAAAGGUCCACGGGCGGUUGGUCACACUGACUUUGGAUCCAGACUGCCUGGGUUCUAAUCCUGCUUCUAUCACUUAUCAACUCUGUGACCUUGGGAAGUCACUUAACUUCUCUACGCCUCAGUUACUUGAGGCUAACAAUUGUGCUUACUGCCUAGAGCUGCUGUCGGGGUCCAGUGAGAUCAUGCGUGUACAGCGCCAUCAGUCACAUGGUAAGUGCUCAGAAAACAUGAGCUAUUAUUAUGUCCUACUACAUGUUGGUUACUGCCCUGGAACUAGAGGAUCAUAGAAAAGCCUGGGCUUGGAGAAAUUUAGGGGUCUUCAACAACUCUGCACUGUUCUGGGUUCGGCUGCACCAUCAAUUUUCCGGCACAUUACAGAUUAAGUAGGCUUUGGUGCACUGACCUAAGAGCCUCAUCACCAUUUGUAUUAUAUAAAAUGUACUCUGUGUUCCAAUCAGCUGACUUUCAAAAGAACCUUUGGACAAGUUACUGAUAGAGCUGAGUAGACUGGAGACAGAACAGAAGAGGUGCUCAUUUCCUAUACCAGGGAUGAGGUUAGAAAGAGUCCCUGCUUACACUGAGAAGGGGCUUCUUAGCCCAUUGUCAAUACCAUAAUAGUGGGUGCCACAUGGGUUUAAGGAACAUGAAGGAAGGGAUAUCAGUUCCUGGAAUAGCACCCACUGGGCAGGAACACCAUACUGUGCUUGAGUUGUUUGCUCAGCUGUAUUUCAGAGGCUGUACUCUACCUUGGUUACAGAAAGGCUAAGUCUCUGCUCCUAUCCAUUUUAAACACUGGCCAUUGGCCAAGUUAAGUGGUAUAAUAGUGCACUGGGGAGUCCUCUGUAGAUACUGAGAGCAAGUCUUUUGGAAUUAGGGAGGCCUGGGUCAAAGCCCAGGCUCUACCACUCUACCAGGCUAUGUGAUUUAAGAGCCUUCACUUCCGCUUUUGUAAAACACAGAUAAGAGUCGUACCCAACUCUCAGGUUGUUAAAAUGAGAUAAUGAAUGUAAAUCAUUUUAAGCACAGUGUCUGAUAUGCAGCAAGUACUUAAGUUACUGCAGCUUUUAUUCUUUCACUUUUUGCCUCAGGUUGCAAGGUCUCUGCUGAUAGGACUUUUGGGAGAGAGAAACUGGGGAACGGACUGGGGAAGACAGGCAAAGGAAUCCCUGCUCAGCCACCCUGCCCAUUACUGUAGUCCCUGUGAUCAGUGAUGUGAAGCUACCACAAAUAUAGCGAAUGACUGAAAAUAGAAGGUGAUCUUUCAACUGCAGCCAGGUGGUUUUUAAUAUAGACACAUGACUGAUAAGAGCUUAACAAGUUUCUGGGUUUAUUACCAAACUCAGAUCAUUGUUUUUGCAUUUUGCAUUGGAAUGUAUGCACCAUUGGUGGAUAUGUGUUCUCCAAAUUAGGGAAAUAUAGAUAUGACCAGUGAUCUCUCCAAUUCUGAAGUAGUGAACAGAUAGUUGUGCUGUGUGUCAGUAAACUCUAUAGUAUAGCAUUGUCACAGUAAUAAAGAAGUCACUAUUCCAGCAAAAUAAUCCAAACCCAGAAAGUUAAUCCAACCCAUUUAAUAAUAUGCACCCUAGUUGUUGUGCUGUAUGGCAGUGAAACAAAAUUGAUAAACUAUUUACAAAUAUGACCAUAUUUUCCUUAGUUCCUCCAUUGAACAGUCAUAUUAUCAGCCAUUCUCUUUGCUGGUGGUUCAGUGUGUUCAUGGUCAGUAUCACUGUUGACACAAUUCCCCCAUCCAAACCAUGCCUUCUGCUACCUGCUGCUCUUCUUCUUUUCCCUCCAGGGCAUUCUUUUUCCCCAGGCCCCAUAGAUCCUUUAGUCUCAGCAGCCCACCUAGCUCAGCUAUCUGGGUGUUGGGGAGCUCAAGUUUGCAGAAAAUGGUCUUAAAAUUAGCUAGAGUGGGCAUCAUGCUGGGAGUCAAAGGAAAAGUGGGAAUGGGCCAUGAAGGGAGGUCUAGAGUGCUGGCUUCCUGUGCCUGACAGUCUUGGGGUAAAGGAAUGAUGCAUUAGUAUCAAGAGAAAAAAGAAAAGGGAGAUGUAACUCAGGAAAUCUAUUUUCUCUAGAGACUGAGGAGCCUUGAAAUGAGCUCAGCAGAUUUACGCUUAAUGUCUCUAUGUAAACUUUGGUUUUCUCAUCUGCAGAGGAAGGACAAUCUCUACCUCAUAGCAUUGUUGCAAGAAUGAAAUUAGAGAAUGUGUAAAUCACCCCACACAGUGACUGGCAUGUGGUAAAUGCCAAUGAUUGGCGUCUAUUUUUUAAAAUAAUGUGCUCUUGUCCUGCCGAAUAGGGUAUAUAAACUCCUCAGUGGAAAAACUGAGACACUGGCUAGAAAGAAACAAUAAAAUUAUAUCACUUUCUUACCUUGAUAAAAGAAAGAUACGUAGAACAUAUUCCCUUACAGCUGAAUUUCAAAAUAAACUUCCAAUCCAUGGGCUCUUUUCCCUGUUCCUGGAAAAAUUACAUCCUGAGCAUGCUCACGUGCUUACCAAAUUACUCAUUAAUGAAUGCUCUAUUUAUUGCAUAGAGUCAGUUAAAUGAUAUUACGUUUUAGUUUAAUUUGAUAGCUUGGAGUAAUUUUGGGGGGCCUGUCAUUACCCUCUUUCAUUGUUUCUGCAGGUGAGUCAGCUUUGAGGUGAGAGACAGGUGGCUUCUCUGCUAUAUGUAAACAAGUGACUCUCAAACAUGUGCAUCAGAAUCACCUGGAGAGCUUAUUGAACGACAGGAUGUCAGAGUCCACCCCUGACAGAUUCUGGGGCCUGCAUUUUGAGAAGUUCUGACUUAAACCAACACUGAUUUCUCUGCACUUUCAGCUGUGGCAGUGAUGGGACUGGCAGCUCCCUGCUUGGCUUGACGACCUUUGUAGGUUUCUUUAGUUGGUUAAGCAGCAGUUUAUAGCUACUUUAUGUUAAGAGCAAUACUUUUUCUGCCCCAAGGAAAGUUACUAACCUGGGAAGAGUGCAGAAAAUAAUGGGCCAUUGACCAUAUUUAGGCGGCACACUCCAAAAAUAGGUGUCUGUGUUCCACACUGAUUAAGAGCUUGGGCUUUGGAGUUGGGAAGGCAAGCAAUGAGACUUCUUUGCCAUUUCUCUAGCUGUGCGGCUGUCUAAAUUUUGUUUUCUUGUCUGUAGAAUGGGGAAAAUAUACUUUCUUGACAGGUUUCAAGAAGGUAAAGCACGUAAAGUGCUCAAUAAGUGUUAGCAGCUUUUUCCAAGAGGAUGUGAAAGCCCAAUGAUGCCUAAGACUGUGAGUGCCACUGUUCAUAUAUACUCAUUAGAAUCCACUAGAACGUCUGAGCACAAAGUUCGUCCUUUUGAGGUCUAAGUCAGCCCAGGUAGAGAGGGAUUUCUAAAGAAUUUCUCACAAAGUGUUAUUCAGCCUUUUCUAGAAAGUUCAGACUGAAGAGCUUUAUACUCUAAAAUAUAAAGAAAACAACCCCAUCAACGAGCUGCCAGUAAAACUGUGCAGGCUGUUCAAGUUAAUUCACAGUUAAUUAAAACAUGAACAACUUUGGCUUGUUUAGAACAUGGUAAUGCAAGAGCUGGAUGGAUCUUAGAGAUCAUCUGGUUCAAUCCUUCUAUUUUACAGAUACAAAAAUCUGUGGGGCUGAGAAAUUAAGUGAAUAAUUUGCCUGAAGGUACACAACCACAAAUUUAAUUUCUACUGGACUUGCUGUGUAAAUGCUCUCAGAAAGAAUGGCUCAUGGACGAUUCUAAAACCACAGUCAUUUCAGUCUUCUGUGACAUGUAAUUGAUUUACAUUCAAACAGCCUGGGUAGAAGGUAAAUUCAUUUAGUUUCCUAGGGUUAUUAUAAAACAAAUUUAUCUUGAGGCAUUCAUCAGGAAGUUACAUGAAAUGAAGCUGGUCAUUUUAUUGAGUGUAUGAUAGAAAUUGUUUUAUAGUCACACAAUGCAAUUGGAAGCAUAUGCUUUGAAAAACUUCGGGUGAAUAUGAUCAUGGUGAUAUUCUAUGAUGUGGCAAUAGUUGUGGCAAUAAUGGGGCUGGCAGCUCCAUUAUUGAAGCUUCAAUUGUCCCAUUUUUCCAUGUGUAGAAGCAGACCCUGACUGUUUUCUGAGAAAAAUCUUGACCCUUUCUCCAAGUACUGUUUUUUUUUUUUCUUUUUGCAGAGGUGCAGUGACUUUCUAUAUAGAUUUCAGUUACUUUUUGGUGAAAAGAAUUUAAACUCAUUUUCUACAUGAUUGGUUAAAGUAUAAGGAUUUGUACUCCAUAUUCUUGAGAUCUUAGCCUCCAGCCUUCAGCUGCCAAACGUCUAUGAAAAGCUUUGUUAUGAGAAAUAUAUAUGAAACUUUGCCCGAAAAGUGUGUAGUUCAUUCAUUACUUUAGAAAUUCUAAUAGUGACAAUAAUAAUAGUUAGAAAUUGUUAAGUAUUUACUAUAUGCCAGUUACUGAGUCCAGCCCUUAUGUGCAUUAUUUCUUUUAAUCCUCGCAACUGGUGUUUCACCAACUUUGCAUGCAUCAAAUCACAAGAGGGCUUGUUAAAACACAAAUUGCUUUGCCCCAUCCUUAGGGUUUCUGAUUCAGUAGCUGCCUGAGAGUGCAUGUCUAAUAAAUUUCUAGGUGAUGCUGAUGCUGCUGGUCUGAGAAGUACUGUUUGCUACAAACCCAGGAGGUAAGCAUUUUGAUCUGUAUUUUGCAGAUGAAGAAACAGGUUAAGGUUGUAUCACUUACUGAACACACAGCUAAUAAGGUGGUAGAGUUGAGAUUUGAAAAUUUGCUUCUUUGAUUCCAAAGUCUAUAGUCAAUUUCUGUGCUAGGUGGUUUUGCAAUAAAACAUUCUGGGCAGAAUAGUAAUAGUAACAUUUUAUAGCUUAGGAAUAGAGUAGGACUCUAUUACUCCUAACACUGGGCUCCAAAUAUAUUAAAGCAUAUAGAUGUCAUGAGAUAGUACUAAUCAAUGCCAGAGUGUGGGAUAAAGUAACACAGCCCUUAAAAGGGACUUUAUCAUGAAGGUAGAAAUAGGCAGGUGAGCAGCUCCCUGACACCAAGGGGAGCUAUGGGACAAAGGGGAGCCUUGGUUCCGGGACUGCAAAGUGUCCAGCAGUGGAAUUUAUCUUCACCACACAAUCUGGUGAGGGCUUUCUCCUGGGAGAAUUGGCUCUGUGUGUGUAAAUUUAAAGAGCCCUUGCCCUUAAGAGAGCUGUGCUUUCUGGGAAGUCUGCAAUUGAGCGUUAAUAGGGAAGAAACGGCUCUCAUCAUGCCACAGAGCUCUGACUUUCUGUUUGAGGCAGCAGUGAGCCAAGCACUGUGGGCUAUAGGUAGCAUUGAAGAAGGGGGCGGGUUAGAAGUCAGCAAGAAGCACGUCUGGGUAACAUACUUGUCAUCGCGUGGUUGCCUAGGCAGUGGGCCCCUGUUGUAUCAGUGAGGAAAACUCUUGACAUGUAACUGAGGUAAGAUUUUGAAUCUUGAUGAGCAACCUUAUUGCCUCCAGUGAAACUAUAUGAAUUAAAACAGCAUUCCAUACCCACUUCUGUAGAAUGCUCUAUCAGAUGCCAGUGGUGACCUUCCAAUUUUACCAACUAAACCUGAUUCACUGGCAGUGACCGCAGAAAGUUUUUGAGGCAAUUAGGUUAGGAGUAUGAGCUGGGAUAGAAGGCCCUUCUUUACUAGCAGCUAGAAAGAAGAGGAUUGACUUGUGGAUGUGUCUCUGGAGAUUCUAAAACAUACGCAGGGGAGGGGAAUCCUUCACUUGCUGAUGAUCUGACAGGACAAGCGUCAGCGACAUUGUGUUUCCGGGCGUCAAUGUGAGUAAUUUUGUGCCUAUUUAUACUCUCAGUUUGAUGAAAACUUCAAUGCAGCAGCCAUAUAAGAUUUAAUCCAUGAAUCAGUGCCAGCACUCUGGCCUCUUAACUCUGCUUUGGUGUUGGUGUCUCAGUGCUCUCUUGAUGAGUACUUCUUUAUGAGUAGCUGUCUCCUGAGCAACCAGCGUGUUUCUAUAUGCGAACAGUCAAUCUGAAGCCGGAUCAUACAUCCUUCUUUGGUUCUCAGAAAUCUGGGUCAGAGUUGUCAUUCACAAAUAUCAAUUGAGCAAGAUCUUCUAUUAUACAUUUUCUCAUGCAAAUUUUUUGAAAGAAGGGAGAGGGAGAAUGUAUAGAAAUGGGAAAAAGGCAAGGUGGAAAAGAGGCAAGAAAAGGAGAAAGGAAGGCAAUUUAGCCCGUUUUACAGAAGACAUCUAUAUAGAAAAGCUCAACAAUGGAAAUAUCCCAAUCCAACCUUGAGGUGACUGACCCUAAAUCUGAAGUAUAGAUGUGGCCAGCAAAAGUCCAAGCUGUAACAAAUUAUUGUUUUGCAAAGUACGAGUCAGUGAUGAGCACUGUAGAAUUAACCAGAGCCAAUGAGGUGAUAACCAUGAUGAUAGAUUGUGGGGAUUACUCUCCAAGCAAAGUAGAUAUGUGCUUUCUGUAAUACUGAUGUCCGAAAGAGCCAAUGUUUCUUAGGGCAAAUACACAUAAUAGCACCAAAUCUGAAUCAUUGAUUUUUUUGUAAACACAACGCUGUAAGCAAGCUAUGGGCUUGCCAAAACUCAGCUUUAGGUGUGCUAGGAGUCAGGGGACACAAAAUCCUGUUCUGGAACUAAGUUGGCAAGUAAUUGUGAUCUAAGGCAAUGCAUGUCAUAGUUGUGUGUGUGUAUGCAAUUCUGCCUGCAGAAUCCAGAAUCUCUUCAUAGAGGAAUGAGUGUUUGAGUUUAUUCUUCACAAAUGAGGAUCUUCAGGUGAAGCUGAACACAAUAAACUAUAUAGAAAAGGCAAGCAGGUGUCAAAAUGCCUGGUUGUUGGGAACUGCCUACUAAGGUCAAGCUUCAGAGAACUUUACUAGAACAUGAGACUAAGCAGAAACAUGUGUCCCAAACCCUGGUGCAUCAGACUCUGAAGAGUUGUUUAUAAUGGUAGUCCAUCUCUUCUCACCUCCCAUUAGUUGUUCAUCUUGUUUCGUAAGCCUGAAGCCUCCUGUAUAGCCUUCCUUACUGACAACCCCCUUAAGUUACCUUACUACUAAUUCUUUAUUGGUUGAGUAGUUUGAGUUAUAAUCAACAGAUGUUAAUUUAAAUGUAUUAUGGUUCAUUCAAGUAUUAAAAUGGGUUGGUCCCUGGGGUUUUGCUAUGAUUACUGCAGUUCAACCCUGGUUCAUCCAUCUUUUUGAAUACUGCUAAGCAACUUUUAUAAUUCAGAUACUUCUUUAAAUAAAUUUCCCUCACUAUAGAUGAAUCAAUUCUGUGAGCUCCAGUCCUGGAGAUGCGACUGAGACUUAGCUAAUUAAUAAUACCGUUACUGAGCUGAGUCGCCUGUCCUGUGUGAGGCUCUCACGUAGAGGUACAGCCCCCGGAAGCACUAAGAUCAGCUGUGGGCCAAGGGUGGGGGAGUAUCAGAAGGGGCAGUUUGGCAAGGCUCACCACUUAAAAAGACUGAUUACCACUUUCGUAUACUGUUGUUAAGCAUGGUAAUGUUGAAAUCUUCCACUAUACAUCUUGUCUGAGAGUUUUAUCGGUUAGAUUACUUGAAUACCUGACUGGAAAAAAUGAGCCGGAUUCCCUAAGAAUGAGGAUUGUGUAGGUAUAAGGACAUACAAGACAAUGCCCAUUCACUGUGACAGCUUUCAAGGAAGAUUUUCUUUGAAAAUGGCAGUGAUAUUUACUCCAGAGGUUGACAAUAGCAACUGCUCUAACAUACUUAUCUAUAAAUCCUAGUAAGCUAUAUUAUCAUCCACUAGGUGCCAGCCACGAGUGGUUAAUCCUUUCAAUGCUACAAGGUAGGUUUAUAUUAUUCUCAUUCUAGAGAUGAGUAAGCAGGCUCAAAGUGGGAGAGGUUUAAUGACUCACAAAAGGCCAGGCAAACAAGUGGGAGAGCCACUGUUCUGCCUACCUUCCAAAAUCCUACUUUCCCCACUAGGGCUACAUUCCCUAAAUCCAUAAACAGUAAACCUGCAUUAAAGAUACUUCAAGAUUCAAGUCUACUUAAGAUUGUUCUUCUACUGUCUCUGCAAGCAUCAGAAAGGUAAUAAUGCUUCCAGGAGACUGAAUAAAAGCAAGAGGCAACUAGUACUACAAACAUUUCCAAAGUAACACAAAAUAUAUGAUAAAGAGAGAAGAACAGUAAAUAUCA